UACGGAAGGCAGCAGUGGGGAAUAUUGCACAAUGGGCGCAAGCCUGAUGCAGCCAUGCCGCGUGUAUGAAGAAGGCCUUCGGGUUGUAAAGUACUUUCAGUCGUGAGGAAGGUGUUAAGGUUAAUAACCUUAGCAAUUGACGUUAGCGACAGAAGAAGCACCGGCUAACUCCGUGCCAGCAGCCGCGGUAAUACGGAGGGUGCGAGCGUUAAUCGGAAUUACUGGGCGUAAAGGGCACGCAGGCGGUUAAUUAAGUUGGAUGUGAAAUCCCCGGGCUUAACCUGGGAAUGGCAUUCAAGACUGGUUAGCUAGAGUCUUGUAGAGGGGGUAGAAUUCCAUGUGUAGCGGUGAAAUGCGUAGAGAUGUGGAGGAAUACCGGUGGCGAAGGCGGCCCCUGGGACAAAGACUGACGCUCAUGUGCGAAAGCGUGGGGAGCAAACAGGGAUUAAAUACC
This 454-nucleotide ribosomal RNA is filed under the name uncultured bacterium. Its description in RNAcentral is "bacterial SSU rRNA". It matches the Rfam family "Bacterial small subunit ribosomal RNA", at positions 340 to 786 of the family's 1533-position model. The record is from RNAcentral.